This 406-nucleotide ribosomal RNA is filed under the name uncultured bacterium. RNAcentral describes it as "partial 16S ribosomal RNA". It matches the Rfam family "Bacterial small subunit ribosomal RNA", at positions 28 to 526 of the family's 1533-position model. The record is from RNAcentral.
GACGAACGCUGGCGGCGUGCUUAACACAUGCAAGUCGAGCGAGCGGCGGACGGGGGAGGAAUGUCUGAGAAACUGCCUGAAGGAGGGGGGUAAAUACUGGAAACGGUAGCUAAAAACGCAAAACAUCAGAUGUGGCAAGAUGGGAAUAGCAAGUAGGUGGGGGAAUGGCUAACCAAGGCGACGAUCCCUAGCUGGCCUGAUAGGAUGACCAGCCACACUGUAACGUAGCACCGGCCCAGACUCCUAAUGGAGGCAGCAGUUGGGAAUAUUGCCGAAUGGGCGCAAGCUUGAUGUAGCCAUGCCGCGUGGAUGAAGAAGGCCUUCGGGUUGUAAAGUACUUUCAGUUGUGAGGCGUGACCGACACAAGAAGCACCGGCUAACUCCGUGCCAGCAGCCGCGGUAAUUC